Molecule: ribosomal RNA, 119 nt
Organism: Cercocebus atys (sooty mangabey)
Lineage: Eukaryota; Metazoa; Chordata; Mammalia; Primates; Cercopithecidae
Source: Ensembl
GUUUACGGCCAUACCACCCUGAAUGCGCCCUAUCUGGUCUGAUCUCAGAAAUUAUGCAAGGUUGGGCCUGGUUAGUACUUGGAUGGGAGACCACCUGGGAAUACCAGGUGCUGUAGCUU